AUAUCAAUAAGCGGAGGAAAAGAAACCAACAGGGAUUGCCCUAGUAACGGCGAGUGAAGCGGCAACAGCUCAAAUUUGAAAUCUGGCCUUCUGGUCCGAAUUGUAAUUUGUAGAGGAUGCUUUUGGUUAGGUACCUUCCGAGUUCCUUGGAACAGGACGCCUUAGAGGGUGAGAGCCCCGUACGGUUGGAUGCCGAGCCUCUGUAAAGCUCCUUCGACGAGUCGAGUAGUUUGGGAAUGCUGCUCUAAAUGGGAGGUAAAUUUCUUCUAAAGCUAAAUACCGGCCAGAGACCGAUAGCGCACAAGUAGAGUGAUCGAAAGAUGAAAAGCACUUUGAAAAGAGGGUUAAAUAGUACGUGAAAUUGUUGAAAGGGAAGGGCUUAUGACCAGACCUUUGCCUUGGGGAUCAUCCGGUGUUCUCACCGGUGCACUCCCCUUGGUUGAGGCCAGCAUCAGUUUUGGCGGCCGGAUAAAGACUUCAGGAAUGUGACUCCCCCGGGAGUGUUAUAGCCUGUUGUGUAAUACGGCCGCUGGGACUGAGGACCGCGC
This 548-nucleotide ribosomal RNA is filed under the name Microdochium poae. Its description in RNAcentral is "partial 28S ribosomal RNA". It matches the Rfam family "Eukaryotic large subunit ribosomal RNA", at positions 40 to 598 of the family's 3401-position model. The record is from RNAcentral. Lineage: Eukaryota; Fungi; Ascomycota; Sordariomycetes; Xylariales; Microdochiaceae.